This 1403-nucleotide ribosomal RNA is filed under the name uncultured bacterium. Its description in RNAcentral is "bacterial SSU rRNA". It matches the Rfam family "Bacterial small subunit ribosomal RNA". The record is from RNAcentral.
GAAUUCGCCCUUAGAGUUUGAUCCUGGCUCAGGACGAACGCUGGCGGCGUGCCUAACACAUGCAAGUCGAGCGGGGACAGGUAGCGGAAGUUCUUCGGGAUGGAAGGUAUUUGUUCUAGCGGCGGACGGGUGAGUAACGCGUGAGUAACCUGCCCUUCACAGGGGGAUAAGAUACCGAAAGGUGUUCUAAUACCGCAUGAGACCACAGAGCCACAUGGCUAAGGGGUCAAAGGAGCAAUCCGGUGAAAGAUGGACUCGCGUCUGAUUAGCUAGUUGGUGAGGUAACGGCCCACCAAGGCGACGAUCAGUAGCCGAUCUGAGAGGGUGAUCGGCCACAUUGGGACUGAGACACGGCCCAAACUCCUACGGGAGGCAGCAGUGGGGAAUAUUGGGCAAUGGGGGAAACCCUGACCCAGCAACGCCGCGUGGAGGAAGAAGGUUUUCGGAUCGUAAACUCCUGUCCUUGGUGAAGAGGAGAAGACGGUAGCCAAGGAGGAAGCCCCGGCUAACUACGUGCCAGCAGCCGCGGUAAUACGUAGGGGGCAAGCGUUGUCCGGAAUGAUUGGGCGUAAAGGGCGCGUAGGCGGCUCGGUAAGUCUGGAGUGAAAGUCCUGCUUUUAAGGUGGGAAUUGCUUUGGAUACUGUCGGGCUUGAGUGCAGGAGAGGUUAGUGGAAUUCCCAGUGUAGCGGUGAAAUGCGUAGAGAUUGGGAGGAACACCAGUGGCGAAGGCGACUAACUGGACUGUAACUGACGCUGAGGCGCGAAAGUGUGGGGAGCAAACAGGAUUAGAUACCCUGGUAGUCCACACUGUAAACGAUGAAUGCUAGGUGUAGGGGGUAUCGACCCCUUCUGUGCCGCAGUUAACACAGUAAGCAUUCCGCCUGGGGAGUACGGCCGCAAGGUUGAAACUCAAAGGAAUUGACGGGGGCCCGCACAAGCAGCGGAGCAUGUGGUUUAAUUCGAAGCAACGCGAAGAACCUUACCAGGUCUUGACAUCGUAUGCAUAACUUAGAGAUAAGUGAAAUCCCUUCGGGGACAUAUAGACAGGUGGUGCAUGGUUGUCGUCAGCUCGUGUCGUGAGAUGUUGGGUUAAGUCCCGCAACGAGCGCAACCCUUACCUUUAGUUGCUACGCAAGAGCACUCUAAAGGGACUGCCGUUGACAAAACGGAGGAAGGUGGGGAUGACGUCAAACCAUCAUGCCCCUUAUGACCUGGGCUACACACGUACUACAAUGGCAAUUAACAAAGAGAAGCAAGACAGCGAUGUGGAGCAAAUCUCGAAAAAUUGUCCCAGUUCAGAUUGCAGGCUGCAACUCGCCUGCAUGAAGUCGGAAUUGCUAGUAAUCGUGGAUCAGCAUGCCACGGUGAAUACGUUCCCGGGCCUUGCACACACCGCCCGUCA